CGUCACACUAUCAUUAACUGAAUCCAUAGGUUAAUGAGGCGAACCGGGGGAACUGAAACAUCUAAGUACCCCGAGGAAAAGAAAUCAACCGAGAUUCCCCCAGUAGCGGCGAGCGAACGGGGAGGAGCCCAGAGCCUGAAUCAGCAUGUGUGUUAGUGGAAGCGUCUGGAAAGGCGCGCGAUACAGGGUGACAGCCCCGUACACAAAAGCGCAUGUGCUGUGAGCUCGAUGAGUAGGGCGGGACACGUGGUAUCCUGUCUGAAUAUGGGGGGACCAUCCUCCAAGGCUAAAUACUCCUGACUGACCGAUAGUGAACCAGUACCGUGAGGGAAAGGCGAAAAGAACCCCGGCGAGGGGAGUGAAAAAGAACCUGAAACCGUGUACGUACAAGCAGUGGGAGCACAGGUUUACCUGUGUGACUGCGUACCUUUUGUAUAAUGGGUCAGCGACUUAUAUUCUGUAGCAAGGUUAACCGAAUAGGGGAGCCGGAGGGAAACCGAGUCUUAAU
RNAcentral lists this ribosomal RNA (508 nucleotides) under Salmonella enterica subsp. enterica serovar Infantis. RNAcentral describes it as "partial 23S ribosomal RNA". It matches the Rfam family "Bacterial large subunit ribosomal RNA", at positions 141 to 688 of the family's 2925-position model. The record is from RNAcentral. Lineage: Bacteria; Pseudomonadati; Pseudomonadota; Gammaproteobacteria; Enterobacterales; Enterobacteriaceae. RNAcentral also lists the same sequence under 2 other names.